This 184-nucleotide ribosomal RNA is filed under the name Alkalicoccus daliensis. Its description in RNAcentral is "Bacillus daliensis 16S rRNA. Bacterial SSU". It matches the Rfam family "Bacterial small subunit ribosomal RNA", at positions 1 to 165 of the family's 1533-position model. Lineage: Bacteria; Bacillati; Bacillota; Bacilli; Caryophanales; Bacillaceae. The record is from RNAcentral.
AUUUAUUGGAGAGUUUGAUCCUGGCUCAGGACGAACGCUGGCGGCGUGCCUAAUACAUGCAAGUCGAGCGCAGGAAACAGGCAGAACCCUUCGGGGGGACGCCUGUGGAAUGAGCGGCGGACGGGUGAGUAACACGUGGGCAACCUGCCUUCCAGAUCGGAAUAACCCCGGGAAACCGGGGCUA